AAUGCAUGAUAAUAUACUGGAAUUGGUAAAAUAAUUCAGUUAUGUUUUCUUUGAUGCAUGUAUUGUUUGUCUUGCGUUGAUUUAUGGUUAAAUUAUAAAACUAAAAAUUAAAUGUAAACAGAAAAUUGAUUGGUUAAGUGAAUGAAUGAAUGGUAGUCUUAGUAGAUAUCCUGAGAGAUAGUGGACGAACCGGGUACAUAAGGAAUCCUACCGUGAACGUCGCCUCAUACCAGACGGGAUAUCGAG
RNAcentral lists this long non-coding RNA (246 nucleotides) under Carica papaya (papaya). RNAcentral describes it as "long non-coding RNA (CPAP_LNC014102)". The record is from RNAcentral. Lineage: Eukaryota; Viridiplantae; Streptophyta; Magnoliopsida; Brassicales; Caricaceae.